This 248-nucleotide ribosomal RNA is filed under the name uncultured Clostridia bacterium. RNAcentral describes it as "partial 16S ribosomal RNA". It matches the Rfam family "Bacterial small subunit ribosomal RNA", at positions 796 to 1041 of the family's 1533-position model. The record is from RNAcentral. Lineage: Bacteria; Bacillati; Bacillota; Clostridia.
CUAGCCGUAAACGCUGGGUACUAGGUGUAGGCGGUUUAGAUACUGUCUGUGCCGAAGUUAACGCAUUAAGUACCCCGCCUGGGGAGUACGAUCGCAAGGUUGAAACUCAAAGGAAUUGACGGGGGCCCGCACAAGCGGUGGAGCAUGUGGUUUAAUUCGAUGCUACGCGAAGAACCUUACCAGGGCUUGACAUUUAUCUGAAAGUUUAUGGAAACAUAGACCCUCUUUCGGGACAGAUAAACAGGUGG